This 253-nucleotide ribosomal RNA is filed under the name uncultured bacterium. RNAcentral's name for it is "partial 16S ribosomal RNA". It matches the Rfam family "Bacterial small subunit ribosomal RNA", at positions 524 to 776 of the family's 1533-position model. The record is from RNAcentral.
UACAGAGGUCCCAAGCGUUGUUCGGAUUCAUUGGGCGUAAAGGGUGCGUAGGCGGCAGGGUAAGUUGGAUGUGAAAUCCUGGGGCUUAACCUCAGAAUUGCAUUCAAUACUGCCUUGCUAGAGAGCUGUAGAGGAGACUGGAAUUUACGGUGUAGCGGUGAAAUGCGUAGAUAUCGUAAGGAAGACCAGUGGCGAAGGCGGGUCUCUGGACAGUUCCUGACGCUGAGGCACGAAGGCCAGGGGAGCAAACGGG